Molecule: ribosomal RNA, 492 nt
Filed under: uncultured bacterium
Lineage: Bacteria
Description: partial 16S ribosomal RNA
Rfam family: Bacterial small subunit ribosomal RNA
Source: RNAcentral
AGUGAACGCUGGCGGUAGGCCUAACACAUGCAAGUCGAACGGCAGCACAGUAAGAGCUUGCUCUUACGGGUGGCGAGUGGCGGACGGGUGAGGAAUACAUCGGAAUCUACUUUUUCGUGGGGGAUAACGUAGGGAAACUUACGCUAAUACCGCAUACGAUCUACGGGUGAAAGCAGGGGAUCUUCGGACCUUGCGCGAUUGAAUUAGCCGAUGUCGGAUUAGCUAGUUGGCGGGGUAAAGGCCCACCAAGGCGACGAUCCGUAGCUGGUCUGAGAGGAUGAUCAGCCACACUGGAACUGAGACACGGUCCAGACUCCUACGGGAGGCAGCAGUGGGGAAUAUUGGACAAUGGGCGCAAGCCUGAUCCAGCCAUACCGCGUGGGUGAAGAAGGCCUUCGGGUUGUAAAGCCCUUUUGUUGGGAAAGAAAAGCAGCAGGUUAAUACCCCGCUGUUCUGACGGUACCCAAAGAAUAAGCACCGGCUAACUUCGUG